This 1041-nucleotide ribosomal RNA is filed under the name Aspergillus alliaceus. RNAcentral's name for it is "SSU rRNA". It matches the Rfam family "Eukaryotic small subunit ribosomal RNA", at positions 68 to 1117 of the family's 1831-position model. Lineage: Eukaryota; Fungi; Ascomycota; Eurotiomycetes; Eurotiales; Aspergillaceae. The record is from RNAcentral.
AGCAUUUGUACUGUGAAACUGCGAAUGGCUCAUUAAAUCAGUUAUCGUUUAUUUGAUAGUACCUUACUACAUGGAUACCUGUGGUAAUUCUAGAGCUAAUACAUGCUAAAAACCCCGACUUCGGAAGGGGUGUAUUUAUUAGAUAAAAAACCAAUGCCCUUCGGGGCUCCUUGGUGAUUCAUAAUAACUUAACGAAUCGCAUGGCCUUGCGCCGGCGAUGGUUCAUUCAAAUUUCUGCCCUAUCAACUUUCGAUGGUAGGAUAGUGGCCUACCAUGGUGGCAACGGGUAACGGGGAAUUAGGGUUCGAUUCCGGAGAGGGAGCCUGAGAAACGGCUACCACAUCCAAGGAAGGCAGCAGGCGCGCAAAUUACCCAAUCCCGACACGGGGAGGUAGUGACAAUAAAUACUGAUACGGGGCUCUUUUGGGUCUCGUAAUUGGAAUGAGUACAAUCUAAAUCCCUUAACGAGGAACAAUUGGAGGGCAAGUCUGGUGCCAGCAGCCGCGGUAAUUCCAGCUCCAAUAGCGUAUAUUAAAGUUGUUGCAGUUAAAAAGCUCGUAGUUGAACCUUGGGUCUGGCUGGCCGGUCCGCCUCACCGCGAGUACUGGUCCGGCUGGACCUUUCCUUCUGGGGAACCUCAUGGCCUUCACUGGCUGUGGGGGGAACCAGGACUUUUACUGUGAAAAAAUUAGAGUGUUCAAAGCAGGCCUUUGCUCGAAUACAUUAGCAUGGAAUAAUAGAAUAGGACGUGCGGUUCUAUUUUGUUGGUUUCUAGGACCGCCGUAAUGAUUAAUAGGGAUAGUCGGGGGCGUCAGUAUUCAGCUGUCAGAGGUGAAAUUCUUGGAUUUGCUGAAGACUAACUACUGCGAAAGCAUUCGCCAAGGAUGUUUUUCAUUAAUCAGGGAACGAAAGUUAGGGGGAUCGAAGACGAUCAGAUACCGUCGUAGUCUUAACCAUAAACUAUGCCGACUAGGGAUCGGGCGGUGUUUCUAUGAUGACCCGCUCGGCACCUUACGAGAAAUCAAAGUUUUUGGGUUCUGG